CACAGCUACUUUUCCAGCACUGGAUUGGCAGCGGAAGGGAAGAAGUCAAGCGCCUUUCUUUCCUCGUUUCACUGCACCCUCUCCGUGACAACUAGAGUUCUAGAGGCCGAAAGUCCAAGAUCAAGGUGCCAGCGUGGUUGGCGUCUGGUGAGGGCUGUCAUGCAGGCUUGCGGAUGGCUGCCUUCUCCUGUGUCCUCCUGUGGUAGAGGGUUCACUGAUGUCUCCUCCUCUUCUUGAAUGACAAAGCAAGACUCCAGGACUACGC
This is a non-coding RNA of Saimiri boliviensis boliviensis (Bolivian squirrel monkey), 265 nucleotides long. The record is from RefSeq and is a predicted model, not a curated record. Lineage: Eukaryota; Metazoa; Chordata; Mammalia; Primates; Cebidae.